UGCACAGCAACAUGGCCAAUCUUUCCUAAGCUGCUCAGCUUACAAGAAAAGGAAUCAUACUGCUAAGAAUUCAAACUUCAGCAGUCAUAGGGAGCCUUGGGAGGACCCCGAAUCACUGAUGGAAUUGCGCAGUGCAUGGAGAUGGCUCAGCAGGAUGAGGUGUCACUGGAAGAUGGUGCGGGCUGCAGAGAGGGAUGCUUUCAAAUGGGAUUAACCAGUCCUCCUUCCUUCACUUCCACAUGAAUGCUGGGCAGCCCAGGGUCAACCCACUGCACCCU
This 278-nucleotide long non-coding RNA is filed under the name Homo sapiens (human). RNAcentral describes it as "non-protein coding lnc-NOTCH2NL-2:2". Lineage: Eukaryota; Metazoa; Chordata; Mammalia; Primates; Hominidae. The record is from RNAcentral.